ACCAAAUCCAGAGCUAUCAUUUCUACUUUGUGAGAAACAGGGUGUGAUCUGGGGUUCCCAGACCACAUGGGGACCAGCUCUUCUCUUGCAGUUCUUGAGAACUUGGGUUGUUCAUUCAUGGAGAUUGGAGUAUGGUUCAUUCCAUGAUCUUCUCCGGCCUGAGAGCAACGUGGAAGCGACUCACAGGCCAAGAACUCUCGGGGAGAUUCCCAUAGAAUUCCUCCAGAAUAUUGGACAAAGGGCAAGUGCUAGCAGACAGUAACAUCAGUCCACCUGCUCCUUGGCCUGCCUGAAUGAUCAUGGCCCAAUGAAAAUCAUGCAAGGUUUCAAGAGCACAAAACUAAACACCAAACUGAGAUUUGGGAGCCCAGGGCAUUGCCUCACUUGUUAGCUGUGAACCCCUGGACAUGUUCCUUUAAAAUCAUGGGCUUAUUUUUCCAUAAAAUGGAGAUAAUACCCUUCCAUCCUGAAACAAGGGUAAAAUUAUUUCAGUGAAAGAUCCUUUAUAAGUUUAUCAGACACUGAAGAAAGAUGUUCAUAUCAUUUUCUACACCCUCAGCCCUGAUGCUGAGCACACUCUUUCUCCUUAUUAAGCUUCCUGCUUUUUUGUCUCUUUUCUUCCAAAAUAAAGAUUGAUGCCUUUUUCUUUCCUGC
RNAcentral lists this long non-coding RNA (654 nucleotides) under Chinchilla lanigera (long-tailed chinchilla). RNAcentral's name for it is "lncRNA (ENSCLAG00000022299.1)". The record is from RNAcentral. Lineage: Eukaryota; Metazoa; Chordata; Mammalia; Rodentia; Chinchillidae.